RNAcentral lists this ribosomal RNA (378 nucleotides) under uncultured bacterium. RNAcentral describes it as "bacterial SSU rRNA". It matches the Rfam family "Bacterial small subunit ribosomal RNA", at positions 521 to 896 of the family's 1533-position model. The record is from RNAcentral.
UAAUACGUAGGGUGCAAGCGUUGUCCGGAAUUAUUGGGCGUAAAGAGCUCGUAGGCGGUCUGUUGCGUCGGCUGUGAAAACCCGGGGCUCAACCCCGGGCCUGCAGCCGAUACGGGCAGACUAGAGUUCGGCAGGGGAGACUGGAAUUCCUGGUGUAGCGGUGAAAUGCGCAGAUAUCAGGAGGAACACCGGUGGCGAAGGCGGGUCUCUGGGCCGAAACUGACGCUGAGGAGCGAAAGCGUGGGGAGCGAACAGGAUUAGAUACCCUGGUAGUCCACGCCGUAAACGUUGGGCGCUAGGUGUGGGUUCCCUUCCACGGGAUCCGUGCCGCAGCUAACGCAUUAAGCGCCCCGCCUGGGGAGUACGGCCGCAAGGCUA